Molecule: non-coding RNA, 19 nt
Filed under: Oryzias latipes (Japanese medaka)
Lineage: Eukaryota; Metazoa; Chordata; Actinopteri; Beloniformes; Adrianichthyidae
Also listed under: 3 other names
Gene: ola-miR-30a-5p
Source: miRBase by way of RNAcentral
UGUAAACAUCCUUGACUGG